RNAcentral lists this long non-coding RNA (213 nucleotides) under Cicer arietinum (chickpea). Its description in RNAcentral is "long non-coding RNA (CARI_LNC001209)". Lineage: Eukaryota; Viridiplantae; Streptophyta; Magnoliopsida; Fabales; Fabaceae. The record is from RNAcentral.
ACCUUUAUUUGUGUUCUAUAGUGCUAGUGCUAGUGCUAGUGCUAGUGCUUCCCUUGUAAUUAUCUGAUUGCCUUUUAGCAUGUUUGCCAUAAUGAAAUUUCCUUUAUCUUGUUAUCAUUUUUAAUUGGACCAUUUGCUUUUUUUGAAUUUCAUUUGGUUUAUGAAGAAUCUAUUUUCUGCUUCUGAGAAUAUGCCAAAGAAGGAGUAAUGUCA